Molecule: non-coding RNA, 554 nt
Organism: Penaeus vannamei (Pacific white shrimp)
Lineage: Eukaryota; Metazoa; Arthropoda; Malacostraca; Decapoda; Penaeidae
Source: RefSeq, a predicted model, not a curated record
GGUCUAUUAUUUAUUUAGGAAUCUAUAUGAAUUUGUACACGUGUAUUAUUUUUCAUGUUUGCCUUUAAUAUGUGUCUUUUUAGCAGUGGCUGUCGUUGUAUAUGUCUUAUUCUUCAGGAAGAAGCACCCUGCACUCCCUAAAGGCCGUGAGCUAAAUCAAGUGCUCAGGUACCAACCCAACGGCACCCCAGUCCUCGACCUGCACGGCAUGGGACGGCGGCAAGCUCUGGAUUGGAUGAAUUACUGCUUUAGGCAAUGUGGACACGGCCUCACGCGAAUAAUCACUGGACGAGGCCUGCACAGUCCCGGUGGCAGGCCGGUGCUCAGGGAGGCCGCCAUGGACUACUUAAAGAAAAAGGGAUAUCAAUUCAAUUUUGUUCGUGAUAAUACAGGGUUUCUUGAGGUUAGGCCAGGCAGGAACUGAGUUUGAUAAUGGGGUGGUAAGUAUUAUGUAUGUUAUUUGAAGGCCUUUUUUAGCAUCCAGAAAAUCCAGACACUUUACAUGCUACAUAUUUUAUGUUGUAUCAUAGUAUCAUAAAACGUUUUGAAAAGGA